GUUGAUGUGUUCCAUUUUGUUUAAAAACAUAGAAUAGUACAAAAGGGAGGAUCAUUGGUCAUCUCGUUAGGGUCAGAGCUAUUUGUGGUCAGGGAUUUUGUGGUUGAAGACGUUGUGCAGACCAGAUAACCUGCUAGUGUUUAUGUGGUUGGGUCAGUUCUGAGUGGUUAGGUCUGCGUGAGGAGUAGAAAAGGGAGGAUCAUUGGUCAUGUGGUAGUGUUGUUAGAGGUUAUGUGGUCAGGAGAUUGACGGUGAGUUGGAAGGUGAGGGUCAGUGUCCAUGUGGCUAGUGUCUCAGUGGAUAGUAGGUAGAGUCUACACAUUGAGUUUAAGUGGUUAGGGUCUACACAUUGAGACUCGUUGUUAUAUCAAAAUAAUGUAAACACUAUCAUAUACACAUUACUUAUUAAGAAUCAUUCUUACAGAGAACGCUCUAAACACCAUUGUAUCCACUUCAUUCAGAUAAUCAUUCUUCAAAACACUGUAAACACCAACAAAACUCUAAACAUUGGAAAGAUAAACACACCGUCAAUCUAUGAAUACAAUACACAACAAAUCAGAAUGGAGAACAAGAAGGACAUGAGACCGCAGAAUCCAUAAUCAAGUACAAAUUAAAGACAAGACCGAUCAACAAAAUUAGAGAAAUUGGGUUGAUGAUAAGUGCUAAAGUGAUUACCUUUAACAUGAUCGAUAGCGUUACAAUUUAAACCACUUUCACUACCCGAAACUAUCUCCUUCUUAGCUUCAUCGUGUCUCUUCAAAGUGAAGGGUUUGACCGGAUACACAUAAUCGGCGGUGAUGUCUCAUGUUUCAGAUUUCGGGGAUGAAUCUUCCUUCUCUACUGAACACAACUUUAUCUCUAGAGUUUAGGACGAGGUUUGUGUCAUCUUCGCCUUUGAUUUCCAUUGUAAUUUCCUCGACUUUCAGCAUGGAACAAAGGAUCAGUGAAACAGAACCCUAAACGCCGACUCAUCCGGAGAUUCUUCUUCACUCGGCUCGCUGGAGCUCCAUAAACCGCGGUCUUCAACCUGCAACAGCUCCGCCGCAGACAGAUUUGGUAUAGAUCUUGGCCAACAAACUAAAGAGACACCGCACAUCUCGUAGGGGAGGGUGAAAUCCAGCGAAAAAGCAAAGAAGAAAAAAGGGAAAAAGGGGGAGAGAAACCCUCUAACGCCGGGAGAUGCGCCGUAAUCUGCUUCUUUGUUUCGCUAGAGAAGGUUGGAGAGAACCAAGUGGACAUUUUGCCAAACU
RNAcentral lists this long non-coding RNA (1250 nucleotides) under Brassica napus (rape). RNAcentral describes it as "long non-coding RNA (BNAP_LNC024613)". Lineage: Eukaryota; Viridiplantae; Streptophyta; Magnoliopsida; Brassicales; Brassicaceae. The record is from RNAcentral.